UUUGAGAUGGCCUCUCGCCCUAUUCAGUGUAACAGCUGUGGUAGUGGGUUUGGUCGCUCGCAUUUAAAUUGGAAGGGUAAUGGUGGACCGCACUUCUCCCUUAGUAGGACGUUGCGACCUGUCAAAUAAUAUCCUAAGUAUUUGGCUAAUUUGUCUGUUUUUAGGCAGUACUGAAAGGUAUUUCCUUUAACAGUUUUAGCCGUUUACAUACUGGAUAUAAUUGACAGUAACGAAUCAUGGUGUUGAGCCACUUACUUUGUAAGUGUCCUUUAUGGCUGUUUGCAAGUGGGUUGGUUAAUUAGUUUUAGUCGGAUUUUGGUCCGUCUAACUAUUCCGCCUACUGUUGGUAAACUGUUCCUUGGACAGUGCUUAUAACACCGGUCGGCAGCGAUUCAGGUUCAGGCUCUUAUCCGACCCGUCUUGAAACACGGACCAAGGAGUUUAGCGUGUACGCAAGUCAUUGGGUGUAUAAAACCCAAAGGCGCAAUGAAA
This 492-nucleotide ribosomal RNA is filed under the name Triatoma guazu. RNAcentral's name for it is "eukaryotic LSU rRNA". It matches the Rfam family "Eukaryotic large subunit ribosomal RNA", at positions 444 to 724 of the family's 3401-position model. The record is from RNAcentral. Lineage: Eukaryota; Metazoa; Arthropoda; Insecta; Hemiptera; Reduviidae.